This is a long non-coding RNA of Macrobrachium nipponense, 726 nucleotides long. RefSeq lists it as uncharacterized. NCBI's taxonomy places the organism in Eukaryota, Metazoa, Arthropoda, Malacostraca, Decapoda, Palaemonidae. The transcript has 3 exons. The record is from RefSeq and is a predicted model, not a curated record.
CCUUUUGGUCGGAACUUCGGACCUUCGACUGUAACAUCGUUUAGGGAGGUAGACGUUAACGGGAGUUUGCUAAGUAAACUCUAUUCCCUCGGGAGUCGCUUUGGGUUAUUCAAUUCCUUCGUAAUUUAGCGUAGCGCGAAUGUCAUAUUGUAAAGAUUCUUACAAGUAAAAAAAAAAAUACUUUAACUAGUGACUGGACUAUAGUUGGCGCUUGCGAUUUCCAUCGACUUCGUUGGGUCUUCUUUAAGGUUUUUGGUACGAGUUUGACUUUGAGCGCCUGUUAUAACGGUAAAGCCUCUCGCAUGGUAAUGCUGCUCUCUGUAGCAACAGGUCAUAACUUGCAGGAUGAACCAGAAUUGAAGAAAAUGUGCAGACAUGAUGCGGGGUUCCGAACCUUUCAGAGUUAGGCUGAUAUUUCUACGGAUCAAAGAUGUGGGCAGUGGUGAUAGAAGUUCACUCUCGACGUGGUUCGUUAAACACUUAAAGCCGUUGGUCCGUUGCUGAAUAACUGGUUCCAUGGAACAUAAAAACACCAUACAAACAAACAAGAUGGGGACAAAUGGAUUAAGCUUUUAUUCGUGUAAAUUCUUAGUUUUCCAUGUUGUGCAUUUCAUUUGAAACCCUGAUAGGUUUGACUUGGGAUCCUGGGAUGUUAUGCAUCCGGAAACUUACUGUUUUCCGUUGUGUAUUUUGAAAUCAAAUUUCAAUAAAUAAAUGGUCUUUAUA